GUGUUGUAUGAAAGGAGAGAAGGUCAGCACUACCCUUGACAAGGAUGGAAGAGGCCCUUGGGCCUGACAACAUGCAUAUGGUGUAAAAAAAAAAAAAAAAGAGUAUCUU
RNAcentral lists this non-coding RNA (109 nucleotides) under Propithecus coquereli (Coquerel's sifaka). Lineage: Eukaryota; Metazoa; Chordata; Mammalia; Primates; Indriidae. The record is from RNAcentral.